This 234-nucleotide unclassified non-coding RNA is filed under the name plant metagenome. RNAcentral's name for it is "partial contains small subunit ribosomal RNA, internal transcribed spacer 1, and 5.8S ribosomal RNA". The record is from RNAcentral.
UUUCCGUAGGUGAACCUGCGGAAGGAUCAAUAAAGUUAUAGUCCCCUGGCCCUCUGGGCUGGGGUCUUCUAUACCACCCUUUGUUUAUUACACCUUUGUUGCUUUGGCAGGCCUGCCCUCGGGCUGCUGGCUCCGGCCGGCUCGCGUCUGCCAGAGGACCUAAACUCUGUUUGUAUAUGAAGUCUGAGUACUAUAUAAUAGUUAAAACUUUCAACAACGGAUCUCUUGGUUCUG